Lingula anatina is the source of this 925-nucleotide long non-coding RNA. The record is from RefSeq and is a predicted model, not a curated record. Lineage: Eukaryota; Metazoa; Brachiopoda; Lingulata; Lingulida; Lingulidae.
UACAAAGCGAAACAUGUUUAGUCAAGUUAAAGACUUAAUUACCGGUUUAACUUCGGCGGCAGUGCCUACUGCUGUGAGCAACAUGCGCUGUCCAUCGUAAUCCCCCUAUCAUUAACACUGUCGGGGACGUGCGCAUUAGCGCGUCUGAUGUAGACAGCGUGUGCUAUUAAAGUGACCGGGGACUUAUUAGCUAUAGUGUAGUUACCGACCUUGACCCAGUUAUCUUGAAAAUCCGGGGCUACCAAUUUAAGCAAGAUGGAGAUAACACAUGGUAUACAAUUACUGUGGAUGUCGACAAGGUUGUCGCAAAACCUGAGAACCCCUCAAAUGAGUCAAAUGACGUAGACGCUUCACAACCAACCCAUUCUCAAAUAUUCAACCCGUCAAGGUGGCCAGUGUAUACAAAGCCAGAAGUUGGACGAAACAUAAGGUUCAACAUUUGCAGUGCAGGAAGUAACGCGUUUCUUGGGGCAAGCGCAAACGGCACAGCUCGCAAAGUCUUGCAGCAGGGAGAUCCAGAGGGCGCUAACUACUACUGGCCGAACCCCGCCAUUUUGUUCUUAGUCUACGAUAGGGGCAACCUUAAAUUAUAACUGUCAAGGAUGCAACGGCUUUGCACAAAGAAAUAAUGCUUGGAUUUCACCUGCUUGAAAGAUAAAAAUUAAACUUGUUUUAGUCAAGGACGAAGAUUAGACAUUUUUUCUUUAUAUACUUCAGAAAUAGCCUACACUACUUAAAAGAAGUAAACUGUUAAUCAUGUACUCUCAUAGAUAUAUGUAUAUAACACCCCAUUUCCAUAGAUUUUUAGAUCGAUCUAUCCCUGUGGGGAGUCUCACUAGAUUACUGUCAGCUUGGCCGGCUUAAGCGUCUGUCCCAUUCCCAUAGUACCAUCGUUCACGUGGAUCGACCCAACUCUGGGGGGGGG